This 461-nucleotide long non-coding RNA is filed under the name Brassica rapa (field mustard). RNAcentral's name for it is "long non-coding RNA (BRAP_LNC002649)". The record is from RNAcentral. Lineage: Eukaryota; Viridiplantae; Streptophyta; Magnoliopsida; Brassicales; Brassicaceae.
GACUCUCCUAUUACAUAAGUUGAGACAAUGCCCCUUUAGAUAUCUCGAAUUCCUACAUGUAAAAUUAAUGUUUUAUCAAUCGAUAAUGACAAUGUCAGUAGCCUAAGGUAGAAUCUAAAGAAUCAAAUAGUACUGAAUCUUUUGGAUUACGGGCACGCAACAAAAGCCUCUCAGUCUUAAGUCAUGACCCAUGGAUGUGGAUUCUUUUUACAGUAUCAGUAAUUAUAUCCAAUACACAUGAUAGACUACGUACUCUUUUUUUUUUUUUUUUUUUGUAACAAGACUAUGUACUCAUAUUUACAAAAAUAUAUAGGUGAAAAGAAAGAGACGAGAAAAGCUGGAGUUUCCACUUACACUCCUAAAAGUAUUGUGGCAAAGACAGAAGAAGUGUUUGGUAAGGUUUGCAAAUGGGUAAAUAAAGAAUAAAAACAAGAAGACAGGUGGUGAAACAGUAAUUCUCA